UACAGAGGGUGCGAGCGUUGUCCGGAAUCACUGGGCGUAAAGGGCGCGUAGGCGGUCUGAUAAGUAGGGGGUGAAAUCCUGUGGCUUAACUGCAGGGCUGCCUCCUAGACUGUUAGGCUCGAGCACGGUAGAGGCAGAUGGAAUUCCCGGUGUAGCGGUGGAAUGCGUAGAGAUCGGGAAGAACAUCGGUGGCGAAGGCGGUCUGCUGGGCCGUUGCUGACGCUGAGGCGCGACAGCGUGGGGAGCGAACGGG
RNAcentral lists this ribosomal RNA (253 nucleotides) under uncultured bacterium. RNAcentral describes it as "partial 16S ribosomal RNA". It matches the Rfam family "Bacterial small subunit ribosomal RNA", at positions 524 to 776 of the family's 1533-position model. The record is from RNAcentral.